ACGAACGCUGGCGGCGUGCCUAAUACAUGCAAGUUGAGCGAUGAAGAUUGGUGCUUGCCCCAAUUUGAAGAGCAGCGAACGGGUGAGUAACGCGUGGGGAAUCUGCCUUUGAGCGGGGGACAACAUUUGGAAACGAAUGCUAAUACCGCAUAACAACUUUAAACAUAAGUUUUAAGUUUGAAAGAUGCAAUUGCAUCACUCAAAGAUGAUCCCGCGUUGUAUUAGCUAGUUGGUGAGGUAAAGGCUCACCAAGGCGAUGAUACAUAGCCGACCUGAGAGGGUGAUCGGCCACAUUGGGACUGAGACACGGCCCAAACUCCUACGGGAGGCAGCAGUAGGGAAUCUUCGGCAAUGGACGAAAGUCUGACCGAGCAACGCCGCGGGAGUGAAGAAGGUUUUCGGAUCGUAAAACUCUGUUGGUAGAGAAGAACGUUGGUGAGAGUGGAAAGCUCAUCAAGUGACGGUAACUACCCAGAAGGGGACGGCUAACUACGUG
This 496-nucleotide ribosomal RNA is filed under the name uncultured bacterium. RNAcentral describes it as "partial 16S ribosomal RNA". It matches the Rfam family "Bacterial small subunit ribosomal RNA", at positions 29 to 507 of the family's 1533-position model. The record is from RNAcentral.